Molecule: long non-coding RNA, 230 nt
Filed under: Homo sapiens (human)
Lineage: Eukaryota; Metazoa; Chordata; Mammalia; Primates; Hominidae
Description: HSALNT0345251
Source: RNAcentral
AGAGCGAGACUUCAUCUCAAAAACAAACAGGAAACCUGUCAGGUUUUUCUGGAGCAACUUGCUUUUUCCUCUUUAACUUUUUGUCAACCUCACUGUCAGGAUCACUGCCAGAAGAGCUUGAAGAAACAAGUUCCUUUGAUUUAGGCAUCGCUUAGCUCAGCUCUAGCAGUCGAACACCCUCCUGCUUGUUCGCUCGCGACUCCUCCCUGCCCUUCAUUUUCAUCCCCUCC